RNAcentral lists this ribosomal RNA (355 nucleotides) under uncultured eukaryote. RNAcentral describes it as "bacterial SSU rRNA". It matches the Rfam family "Eukaryotic small subunit ribosomal RNA", at positions 594 to 945 of the family's 1831-position model. The record is from RNAcentral.
AUAGCGUAUAUUAAAGUUGUUGCAGUUAAAAAGCUCGUAGUUGAAUUUCGGAAUUGAUGCAUCGGUCGUGCCUUAAGGGGCAUGAACUGGUGUAGCCAAUUUCUCACCUUCUGGUGAAUUGUUGAUGUUCUUAAUGGGUGUCUCAAUGAACUAGAAUUUUUUACUUUGAAAAAAUUAGAGUGUUUAAAGCAGGCAUUAAUUUGCUUGAAUACAUUAGCAUGGAAUAAUGAAAUAGGACAGUGGUUCCGUUUUGUUGGUUUCUAGAGUCGCCGUAAUGAUUAAUAGGGAUAGUUGGGGGCAUUGGUAUUGAGUCGCUAGAGGUGAAAUUCUUGGAUUGACUCAAGACCAACUAUUG